UAUAAUUUAAAGUAGGGCCUGCCCACUGAAAAUUUAAAGGGCCGCAGUAUCUUAACUGUGCAAAGGUAGCAUAAUCAUUAGUUUUUUAAUUGAAAGCUGGAAUGAAUGGUUUGAUGAGAAAGUAGCUGUCUCAGUAUUAAUUUUUUAAAAUUUUAUUUUUAAGUUAAAAAGCUUAAAUAAAAAUAAAAGACGAGAAGACCCUAUAGAGUUUUAUUAAUGAUUAUUUUUUUAAUUUAAGAAUUUAUUUUUAAAAAAAUAAUAAUUAAUUUGAUUGGGGUGAUUAAAAAAUUAAUUUAACUUUUUUUAUAUAAAAACAUUAAUUUAU
This 325-nucleotide ribosomal RNA is filed under the name Scymnus subvillosus. RNAcentral describes it as "partial 16S ribosomal RNA". The record is from RNAcentral. Lineage: Eukaryota; Metazoa; Arthropoda; Insecta; Coleoptera; Coccinellidae.